CGUUAGCUCAGUCGGUAGAGCAUCUGACUUUUAAUCAGGUGGUCGCAGGUUCGAUCCCUGCACGGC
RNAcentral lists this transfer RNA (66 nucleotides) under marine eukaryotic metagenome. It matches the Rfam family "tRNA", at positions 5 to 66 of the family's 71-position model. Rfam says of the family: Transfer RNA (tRNA) molecules are approximately 80 nucleotides in length. Their secondary structure includes four short double-helical elements and three loops (D, anti-codon, and T loops). The record is from RNAcentral.